This 253-nucleotide ribosomal RNA is filed under the name uncultured bacterium. RNAcentral's name for it is "partial 16S ribosomal RNA". It matches the Rfam family "Bacterial small subunit ribosomal RNA", at positions 524 to 776 of the family's 1533-position model. The record is from RNAcentral.
UACGGAGGGUGCAAGCGUUAUCCGGAUUUACUGGGGUUAAAGGGUGCGCAGGCGGAUAUGUAAGUCAGUGGUGAAAUCUCUAGGCUUAACCUGGAAAUUGCCGUUGAUACUAUAUAUCUUGAAUGCUGUGGAGGUAAGCGGAAUAUGUCAUGUAGCGGUGAAAUGCUUAGAUAUGACAUAGAACACCUAUUGCGAAGGCAGCUUACUACGCAGAUAUUGACGCUCAUGCACGAAAGCGUGGGGAUCAAACAGG